RNAcentral lists this ribosomal RNA (425 nucleotides) under uncultured bacterium. Its description in RNAcentral is "partial 16S ribosomal RNA". It matches the Rfam family "Bacterial small subunit ribosomal RNA", at positions 354 to 796 of the family's 1533-position model. The record is from RNAcentral.
GUGGGGAAUCUUAGACAAUGGGGGAAACCCUGAUCUAGCCAUGCCGCGUGAGCGAUGAAGGCCUUAGGGUUGUAAAGCUCUUUCAGCUGGGAAGAUAAUGACGGUACCAGCAGAAGAAGCCCCGGCUAACUCCGUGCCAGCAGCCGCGGUAAUACGGAGGGGGCUAGCGUUGUUCGGAAUUACUGGGCGUAAAGCGCGCGUAGGCGGACCAGAAAGUUGGAGGUGAAAUCCCAGGGCUCAACCGGGGAACUGCGUUCGAUACUGCGAGGCUUGAGUCCUGGAGAGGGUGGCGGAAUUCCGAGUGUAGAGGUGAAAUUCGUAGAUAUUCGGAGGAACACCAGUGGCGAAGGCGGCUCACUGGCUCGAUACUGACGCUGAGGUGCGAAAGCGUGGGGAGCAAACAGGAUUAGAUACCCGGGUAGUCC